RNAcentral lists this ribosomal RNA (253 nucleotides) under uncultured bacterium. RNAcentral's name for it is "partial 16S ribosomal RNA". It matches the Rfam family "Bacterial small subunit ribosomal RNA", at positions 524 to 776 of the family's 1533-position model. The record is from RNAcentral.
GACGAACCGAGCGAACGUUGUUCGGAAUCACUGGGCUUAAAGGGCGCGUAGGCGGGCUGCCAAGUCUGGGGUGAAAUCCCACGGCUCAACCGUGGAACUGCCUCGGAUACUGGCGGCCUCGAGGGAGGUAGGGGCGUGCGGAACUGUGGGUGGAGCGGUGAAAUGCGUUGAUAUCCACAGGAACUCCGGUGGCGAAGGCGGCACGCUGGACCUUUUCUGACGCUGAGGCGCGAAAGCCAGGGGAGCAAACGGG